This 497-nucleotide ribosomal RNA is filed under the name uncultured bacterium. RNAcentral describes it as "partial 16S ribosomal RNA". It matches the Rfam family "Bacterial small subunit ribosomal RNA", at positions 28 to 507 of the family's 1533-position model. The record is from RNAcentral.
GAUGAACGCUGGCGGCGUGCCUAAUACAUGCAAGUCGAGCGAACGGACGAGAAGCUUGCUUCUCUGAUGUUAGCGGCGGACGGGUGAGUAACACGUGGAUAACCUACCUAUAAGACUGGGAUAACUUCGGGAAACCGGAGCUAAUACCGGAUAAUAUUUUGAACCGCAUGGUUCAAAAGUGAAAGACGGUCUUGCUGUCACUUAUAGAUGGAUCCGCGCUGCAUUAGCUAGUUGGUAAGGUAACGGCUUACCAAGGCAACGAUGCAUAGCCGACCUGAGAGGGUGAUCGGCCACACUGGAACUGAGACACGGUCCAGACUCCUACGGGAGGCAGCAGUAGGGAAUCUUCCGCAAUGGGCGAAAGCCUGACGGAGCAACGCCGCGUGAGUGAUGAAGGUCUUCGGAUCGUAAAACUCUGUUAUUAGGGAAGAACAUAUGUGUAAGUAACUGCGCACAUCUUGACAGUACCUAAUCAGAAAGCCACGGCUAACUACGUG